Mugil cephalus (flathead mullet) is the source of this 2708-nucleotide long non-coding RNA. RefSeq lists it as uncharacterized. The record is from RefSeq and is a predicted model, not a curated record. The transcript is spliced from 3 exons. Lineage: Eukaryota; Metazoa; Chordata; Actinopteri; Mugiliformes; Mugilidae.
CUCACAUGAUUAUAUCAUAAUAACUUUUAAACAGGUAGAAUUCUUCCAUCAUAGAAAGGUGCAGUUUUCCUCUGCAGUCCGUCCUCCAGUGUAAUCAGAAGCACACCACAGAUGCCCACUAUGACCAAUUAAGGGCCCGGUAAUUGGUCAGAUCGCGCCUCUCCGGGUCCACGUGCGCGUUUUCUAAUUAAAUCAACGCCUUAACUGAGACACAGCGCGCGUUUAAAUCCAAACAGUGCCGGUAUGCAGGAGGGGAGAGACGAGCGAGGACGUUACGGGCCGCGGGGAUACAAACACGAGCGCUGUUCCUCGCAACAAUGACCCCUUGUAUCCCCCGCCAUGCGACACACUGGCCCCCCAAUCCAAAAAUCACCACUUUUUUUCCACAUUAACCAUGAAUGUUGACUCUGAUAAGGGAAUCCUAACCAUGAGUGCAUCUCUCUGUCCGAUGCUCUGGCUCCUUUCCUUCCUUCUUUCCCCUCCUUUCUUUGCGCCCUUUGUUUUUUUUUUUUUUUAUCACAGGUGAAUUGUAAUCAUGUGAUCAAAACGAGCGAACCCUAACCCCCAUUAAAUGAAAAAAGAAAGCCGUUGUGUGCGUAUGAAAAAGGAAAAUGAGGGGGGAAAGUCGUGUGUCUUCCAUUCCAGCAUCGCUCCGUGUCUGUAAACUAUGACAUAUAAAGCAAAAUGCUCCGGGAGCGCGGGGAGCGCAUCUCGGGGAGCCGCGGUGCGACAGUCCGGCUCCUGGAGCUGAAACCGAGGAGCUCCAGGGAGCCGCUCCGGGGAUUUCCUUCCUUCCCGCUGUGCAGCUGACAAUUUGCGGCCCAGUUUCGGUUUGACAGGCCCCCUCCCCUCAAGCCAUAGGAGCCGAAGGCCCCACACCAACAACAUCCUGGUCGACCUGCUGCUCCUGCGUUCCCUGAGAUUAAAUGAUUGUUUUUGUCAAUGGAGUCUGGUGGCUUUUAGGAGAUAGAACAAAAACAGCUUCGUCUGAGAAUGCAGCCUGAGAGCAAAGGAAAGCCACAAUAAUACUGUAAAUAUAGUAAUUUACACUCACUGUGGAUACGUUUGCUUAAUACUGGACUUUCUGCCGUUUUAAUUCAUGCUGCUCCACCGCACACAGACUCCCACACUCAUAACUCAGACCUGAACACCUGCUAUUACAGCUAUAGAUACUCUCCCCAGAAGACAUUUUAACUGGGUAAUGUAAUGCACAGGUGGAAUUAACAAUGCCUCAGGCCCAUUAAGCGUCCCAACAGACCCUAUCAGUGAACCGGGCUGCACAAAAGCCACGCCGUGAAUGCACCCACCACCGGUUCCCUCCAUUCAAGAACCGGUGAUGACUGGAGCUCGGCCAGCAGAGGGCACCGGCCUCCACCUCAUCAGCAGCAGCUCGGCCCGUCUUCAUCCUUCAGUCUUGUAGAUCUUGGUGUCCAAAUCUAAAAUGGGAUCCGUUGCAGCUCUUAGCCUCGGCCUUUCCAAGGAUCUGCUUGCUGUAAAUAUCCCUGAGCUGAAUCUGACUCACCCCGCCAAGCCAACUUAACAAACCUCACAGUCUCACAGGCCAUUUUGAGUCGAGUUGUUUGUGUGAGGCUGUGAGUUACAAGCUGCCGCAAAUCCCUCACCUGUGGCAUCUACUUGUUCCCAUGACACCAAAGAUCGGCGGUAAAGGGCACAGGUGGGAGGAUGGACUCUGCACUGAUGCAAAACAUUAGGUUUUACGAUGUUGGUCGGGUUUAGUCCAUGGAGAAGAGGCCUGCAGGACACACAAAAAGGGCAACAAAAUCAAUGAGCCGUGGUUGAUCGUCGUAUAAAUGCACAACCAAAUGUUAUGUAUUGUUUUAGCCAGCGAAAGAUGUGGGUUAAGACUUUUGAAUCUGAAAAAUAUCUUAUUCACAGUUCACCUGUUACCACUGUUCAUCCAAUUCUUUAUUUCUAAAUGACUAAUGGGGGGUUAGAUUUUAAUAGGAGCAUUAAAACAUCACGUAGGCGUUGCCCAUCGCAAACUCUCAUGACUGGAGUCUGUUAAUGACCAGAUACUUACCUGUAGUCGAGAGUUAUGAUCCUGUUUUCUUUCCCCGCUGAAUGAUACUCAAACCACCCAUUAUCGGCCAAACUGUGUUGUAAAUUGAUGGCUCCACCUCCCCUGUUUAAAUUUUCAAAUUUGCUCAUUGGGCAACACCUGCACAUGUUCCUUUUUAAUUUCCAACCCCCCACCGGCCUUUUACAAAUGAAGAAGCUACUUGGAUGAAACAUCUUUGAGAACUCUACAAGUACCGUUGUCCUUAUUUCAGCUUGUCUUUUGGACACUUCAUCUUCAUGCUGAUGUGUUUAUAUAGACAAAACCGAGCAAUGAACCAAAUGCUGCAAACUAGUUCACCAGUCAGUCUACUCACAAAGAGAUUAAAUAAAUAGUGCAGAUUUUUUUGAGGGUGCGUUUUAUCAUGGCAGGUCCAUAAUCAGUGUAGGUUAAAGUAAUUAAUUAUGACCACCUUCCUGAUAUUGUGUAGGUCUAUCUUGUGCCUCCAAAGUAGUUGUGGCUCAUUAGAGAAUAGACAUGAGUCUUCUGAGGGUGUCUUGUGUUGUCUGGUAACAUGGUGUUAUUAGUCAGGGGGUCUUUGAGCUCUUUGGGAUCAUCAGUUUGGGAUCUAGUGAGUUUUGAGUUGUUCCUGAAGUGUUUUUGUGUGUGUCUGUGUCAGGCUGCAUCCUGC